This is a non-coding RNA of Acanthosepion pharaonis, 109 nucleotides long. The record is from the annotation of a GenBank genome assembly. Lineage: Eukaryota; Metazoa; Mollusca; Cephalopoda; Sepiida; Sepiidae.
GUUCACAUCACGUUGAAACACCUGUUCCUGGACGAUCACCGAAGUUAAGCAAAGCCGAGCCUAGUCAGUACCUAGAUGAGCGACCGUUUGUGAAUAUUAGGUGUUGUAA